GGCCCGCUGGCGCAACGGAUAGCGCAGAGGAUUUCUAGCCUUCAGGUUCCCGGUUCGAGUCCGGGGCGGGCCUCCA
RNAcentral lists this transfer RNA (76 nucleotides) under Mycoplana azooxidifex. RNAcentral describes it as "Rhizobium azooxidifex tRNA-Arg". It matches the Rfam family "tRNA". Rfam says of the family: Transfer RNA (tRNA) molecules are approximately 80 nucleotides in length. Their secondary structure includes four short double-helical elements and three loops (D, anti-codon, and T loops). Further hydrogen bonds mediate the characteristic L-shaped molecular structure. tRNAs have two regions of fundamental functional importance: the anti-codon, which is responsible for specific mRNA codon recognition, and the 3' end, to which the tRNAs corresponding amino acid is attached (by aminoacyl-tRNA synthetases). tRNAs cope with the degeneracy of the genetic code in two manners: having more than one tRNA (with a specific anti-codon) for a particular amino acid; and 'wobble' base-pairing, i.e. permitting non-standard base-pairing at the 3rd anti-codon position. The record is from RNAcentral. Lineage: Bacteria; Pseudomonadati; Pseudomonadota; Alphaproteobacteria; Hyphomicrobiales; Rhizobiaceae.